AGAUUAAGUUAUUAAGGGCGCACGGUGGAUGCCUUGGCACUAGAAGCCGACGAAGGACGUUACUAACGACGAUAUGCUUUGGGUAGCUGUAAGUAAGCGUUGAUCCAGAGAUUUCCGAAUGGGGGAACCCAGCACGAGUUAUGUCGUGUUAUCGACAAGUGAAUUCAUAGCUUGUCAGAAGGCAGACCCGGAGAACUGAAACAUCUUAGUACCCGGAGGAAGAGAAAGAAAAAUCGAUUCCCUGAGUAGCGGCGAGCGAAACGGGAAGAGCCCAAACCAAUAAGCUUGCUUAUUGGGGUUGUAGGACACUCUAUACGGAGUUACAAAGGAAUAUAUUAGACGAAUCAUCUGGAAAGUUGAAUCAAAGAAGGUAAUAAUCCUGUAGUUGAAAAUAUAUUCUCUCUUGAGUGGAUCCUGAGUACGACGGAGCACGUGAAAUUCCGUCGGAAUCUGGGAGGACCAUCUCCUAAGGCUAAAUACUCUCUAGUGACCGAUAGUGAACCAGUACCGUGAGGGAAAGGUGAAAAGUACCCCGGAAGGGGAGUGAAAGAGAACUUGAAACCGUGUGCUUACAAGUAGUCAGAGCCCGUUAAUGGGUGAUGGCGUGCCUUUUGUAGAAUGAACCGGCGAGUUACGAUCUGAUGCAAGGUUAAGCAGGAGAUGUGGAGCCGUAGCGAAAGCGAGUCUGAAUAGGGCGUUGAGUAUUUGGUCGUAGACCCGAAACCAGGUGAUCUACCCAUGGUCAGGUUGAAGUUCAGGUAACACUGAAUGGAGGACCGAACCGACUUACGUUGAAAAGUGAGCGGAUGAACUGUGGGUAGCGGAGAAAUUCCAAUCGAACUUGGAGAUAGCUGGUUCUCUCCGAAAUAGCUUUAGGGCUAGCCUCAAGUGAUGAUUAUUGGAGGUAGAGCACUGUUUGGACGAGGGGCCCCUCUCGGGUUACCGAAUUCAGACAAACUCCGAAUGCCAAUUAAUUUAACUUGGGAGUCAGAACAUGGGUGAUAAGGUCCGUGUUCGAAAGGGAAACAGCCCAGACCACCAGCUAAGGUCCCAAAAUAUAUGUUAAGUGGAAAAGGAUGUGGCGUUGCCCAGACAACUAGGAUGUUGGCUUAGAAGCAGCCAUCAUUUAAAGAGUGCGUAAUAGCUCACUAGUCGAGUGACACUGCGCCGAAAAUGUACCGGGGCUAAACAUAUUACCGAAGCUGUGGAUUGUCCGUAGGACAAUGGUAGGAGAGCGUUCUAAGGGCGUUGAAGCAUGAUCGCAAGGACAUGUGGAGCGCUUAGAAGUGAGAAUGCCGGUGUGAGUAGCGAAAGACGGGUGAGAAUCCCGUCCACCGAUUGACUAAGGUUUCCAGAGGAAGGCUCGUCCGCUCUGGGUUAGUCGGGUCCUAAGCUGAGGCCGACAGGCGUAGGCGAUGGAUAACAGGUUGAUAUUCCUGUACCACCUAGCAUCGUUUUAAUCGAUGGGGGGACGCAGUAGGAUAGGCGAAGCGUACGAUUG
RNAcentral lists this ribosomal RNA (1501 nucleotides) under Salmonella enterica subsp. diarizonae. Its description in RNAcentral is "partial 23S ribosomal RNA". It matches the Rfam family "Bacterial large subunit ribosomal RNA", at positions 1 to 1500 of the family's 2925-position model. The record is from RNAcentral. Lineage: Bacteria; Pseudomonadati; Pseudomonadota; Gammaproteobacteria; Enterobacterales; Enterobacteriaceae.